GAUGAACGCUGGCGGCGUGCCUAAUACAUGCAAGUCGAGCGAACGGACGAGAAGCUUGCUUCUCUGAUGUUAGCGGCGGACGGGUGAGUAACACGUGGAUAACCUACCUAUAAGACUGGGAUAACUUCGGGAAACCGGAGCUAAUACCGGAUAAUAUUUUGAACCGCAUGGUUCAAAAGUGAAAGACGGUCUUGCUGUCACUUCUAGCGGGAUCCGCGCUGCAUUAGCUAGUUGGUACGGUAACGGCCUACCAAGGCAACGAUGCAUAGCCGACCUGAGAGGGUGAUCGGCCACACUGGAACGGAGACACGGUCCAGACUCCUACGGGAGGCAGCAGUAGGGAAUCUUCCGCAAUGGUCGAAAGCCUUACGGAGCAACGCCGCGUGAGUGAUGAAGGUCUUCGGAUCGUAAAACUCUGUUAUGAGGGAAGAACAGAUGUGUAAGUAACUGUGCACAUCUUGACGGUACCUAAUCAGAAAGCCACGGCUAACUACGUG
Molecule: ribosomal RNA, 497 nt
Filed under: uncultured bacterium
Lineage: Bacteria
Description: partial 16S ribosomal RNA
Rfam family: Bacterial small subunit ribosomal RNA
Source: RNAcentral